Molecule: ribosomal RNA, 253 nt
Filed under: uncultured bacterium
Lineage: Bacteria
Description: partial 16S ribosomal RNA
Rfam family: Bacterial small subunit ribosomal RNA
Source: RNAcentral
UACGAAGGGUGCAAACGUUGCUCGGAAUUAUUGGGCGUAAAGGGCGCGUAGGCGGUGCGGUAAGUCACCUGUGAAAUCUCCUGGCUCAACUGGGAGCUUGCAGGCGAAACUGCCGGGCUUGAGUGUGGGAGAGGUGAGUGGAAUUCCUGGUGUAGCGGUGAAAUGCGUAGAUAUCAGGAGGAACACCUGUGGCGAAAGCGGCUCACUGGACCAUAACUGACGCUGAUGCACGAAAGCUAGGGGAGCAAACAGG